GUGAUAACGAUCCCGGAAUUGUUGAAGCGAUUCGAAAGAAAACGAAGGAAGUUCACGAGGAAGCCGAAGCGUCUCGUAUCGCAAAAGAAGAGGAAAUGGGUCGAAUCAGGAAAAAAAAUCAAGCCGAAAAGAAAUAUAAGUGGAAAUAUGACCUUGCUACUCCUAAGCCUUUGGGAACUCAUCAAAAAGACGGUAAAAAUUUGAAUGCUUCCCACCGAAACCCAAGGGGCAUGUGGAUUAAAGCCAAGGGAUCAUUAUCGAUGACCCACCACCUCAAGCGGAGCAACCAACACAUGAAGAAUAUGAUUCUGAAACACCUACUGAACAAGAAGGUGAUGAUAGAUAAAUUGAAGAAGAAAAAGGUGAUGAGGAAGGUGGUGGAAAGGAAGGUGGUGAAGAAGAAAGUGAUGAGAGUGAAAGUGAUGAGGAAGGUGGUGGCAAGGAAGGUGGUGAAGAAGAAGGUGAGGAUGAAAGUGAUGAAGAGAUAAGAGAAGUCAUUCAAGAACAAGAAGUUCAACAACAAGACCAAGGAGGAGAUGCUAAAGAAAAAGGUAAGAAGAAAGAAGGAUAAAAGAAGAAGAAAGGUGACCACAUGCCUGACCCGCUGAAGAUGUUUGCUCGCGGCCCUGAUGAUCAUGAUCCAACUUUAGGGAUACCCGGUGAUGGAGGAAAGGUAUUAUGGGGUUACAAAGACAGUUGGGCCUCCGUCGUUUACAAUACCAUAGAUCACAAGGAUUCCGUUCGUCUUAUGAAGCCAUGAACGUCAAUGAGUAUGAUGAGGAAAUGGCCACUGGAAGAAAUAGAAACAACCAUUGGAGAAGCUCCGUAAGUAAUCAAUCUAGUCAAUUCUACGGGGUUGAUACCUGCGGUCGAGAAUUUGGACCUUGGUUACGACGGACCUCUUUGUUCCGCCUUUGCCGAGAGAUACUACGGGGAAACAGAUACUUUACAUCUUCCGUUUGGAGAAAUGACGAUAACUCCAAAUAAUGCGAAGUUAAUUACCAGCCUAAGCAUAUACAAGGUAAAACCGUGAAGCACAAAGGGUACGAGCCAGAGCUUGGGUGGGACAAGAUUUAUGCGUGGACCAAGAAAGUGUUCCAAUGGGAUGAGGAGAAGACCAAGAAGGAGAUGCUAGUAGGCAAGACAAAGCAGAGGAUAUUCCAUCUCUCGAGGCUGAGGGACAACUUCAUGGGAACAAAGAAGCUUCGUGCUGAGGGAAAAGAGGUGACGUCGCAACGUAUCAUCGCCACGGCUAAUGCGUAUGUCCUCUAUAUCCUGGGAGCUGUAAUCUUCCCCGACGUUUCCGGUGUCCGUGUGAGCGCCAACUUUAUCCAGAUUUUGCAACCAUUUGGAAAGAUUCGCGAAUACUCUUGGGCCACUUCCAUCCUUGCACACUCGUUGAAUGAGUUGAGAAAGGCUUCUAGGUCUCAAAGGAACCAAAUAGGAGAGAAUAUGGCUUUUCUGCAGGCUUGGAUAUAUAUGCACUUCCCAAUAUUUUCUAAAAGGGCUUUUGAGAACAAGGAUUGGGACAGAGAGAAUUAUGGAGACAAGUACAACUACAAAAGUAAGCCGAAGAAACAAAAAAUGGAUUUUCUGAAUUUGAGACGCCAGUUAGACAACUUGACGACGAAAGGAUAUUGUCUUUGAUACUUACAAGGAGGAUUUGGCUAAAGGAAAAGGAAAAGGAAAGAAGGUUGGCUGCCGAGAGCAAAGUGAAUAUUUUGGGCCUUUGUUUCACCCAAGAGGAUAUGUAAUGUACAACCCGACGAGAGUCGAAAGACAAUGCGGUUACGUACAAAAAAUCCCAAAGGCGCACAAGAUGUUCAACAUCAAUGAGACAAAAACCAAAUCACAUGAUAAUGAUAUUGUCAUUAUUCACAAGCCUUUCCUAUCAUGUGAUUAUUGGAAUGACAGAGCGUUCCACAGAUAUCCUUUGGAUGGUCCAUCUCCAGUAGAUGACGCGGCAAUUCCGGGUUACAUAUCGUGGUACCUCAAAGUUUUGCAUACUCGAGUGAUACGAGUAGAUGAGAGGCCCAAGAUAGAGGACAAAGAUACGGAUCUCGAUUACUUGAGAAGACGAGUCGACACUUGAUAACCCAAGAAAAGCUAGAAAUCAGGAAAGGGAAAAAUGUGAAGGCCAAUGAAAAGAUAAUUGAUGAAUUGAAUGGUCUCGAAGAUGUAGAAGAUGGUGCAAAGUUUGGGGAGAAGGAUGAUGAUGAGGAGGAAGAGAUCCCCCCCCCCCCUCCCAAAAAAAAAAAAGAUGACUGAAGGUGCAUUGAGCAGCGCUCAACCUGGUAAACGAGGACG
Papaver somniferum (opium poppy) is the source of this 2307-nucleotide long non-coding RNA. RefSeq lists it as uncharacterized. The transcript has 4 exons. NCBI's taxonomy places the organism in Eukaryota, Viridiplantae, Streptophyta, Magnoliopsida, Ranunculales, Papaveraceae. The record is from RefSeq and is a predicted model, not a curated record.